This 469-nucleotide ribosomal RNA is filed under the name uncultured bacterium. RNAcentral's name for it is "bacterial SSU rRNA". It matches the Rfam family "Bacterial small subunit ribosomal RNA", at positions 28 to 491 of the family's 1533-position model. The record is from RNAcentral.
GAUGAACGCUAGCGGCAGGCUUAACACAUGCAAGUCGAGGGGCAACACGGGUAGCAAUACCUGGUGGCGACCGGCGCAAGGGUGCGUAACGCGUGAGCAACAUGCCCUAUACAGGGGGAUAAUCCAGGGAAACUUGGUCUAAUAUCCCAUAGUAUUUAGAGGUGGCAUCACCACUAAAUUAAAGCUUCGGUGGUAUAGGAUUGGCUCGCGUGACAUUAGCUGGAUGGUGGGGUAACGGCUCACCAUGGCGAUGAUGUCUAGGGGUUCUGAGAGGAAGACCCCCCAACUGGGACUGAGACACGGCCCAGACUCCUACGGGAGCAGCAGUGAGGAAUAUUGGACAAUGGAUGGAAAUCUGAUCCAGCCAUGCCGCGUGCAGGAAGACAGCCCUAGUGGGUUGUAAACUGUCUUUUAUAGUGGGAGCAAUAAGGUCUACGUGUAGACUGAUGAGAGUACCAUAUGAAUAAGC